GCAGACGGUGCGUGGUUUCUUUUUGGUUUGUAGCUGUUUGGCUAAUAGAUGUGGGCAUGUGGAUUUUAAAUGUAGAGUUUCUCUUUUCUCAGUGCGUUUUAUGUCUGGUUGGGUCACAGACUGUCCACUGCAUGUCAGCCGUGAAAUCAGUGAAAAGUCUUCCUGCAUGUUAAUUCGAGCUGUGAGCGACUAUACACUUCGUGUGGCACGAGGGAUUGCUUUGGGCACUGCCGGCCUGAGGCUGGGAGGCUAGCUAGCUAGCUUGGAGUACGGGUGGUGGUGCAAUUGUGUGGAGUGCAGUGCUGCUUGGAUUCACCUUUCACUGUGUGUGCGUGCGUGCGUGCGUGCGUGUGUUACACGAAUUCACAGAUAGGGUCUUCACUCCAUCUAGCCUGCCCCUGCUGCUGGAAAGCCUGUGUCUUUUAUUUUUUUUUUUUUUUUUUUUUUGUUGUGAGUAUUUUCAAAUUGAUAUUUUUAUUUUGUCCAGUACACAGAGUUUCUGAUUGUGACAGUGUUUGAUUGUGACCUGACAUUUGACAUUGAUUAUCAUUGAACAUUUUAACUAUUUAUGGUGAU
This is a long non-coding RNA of Labeo rohita (rohu), 576 nucleotides long. RefSeq lists it as uncharacterized. The transcript is spliced from 3 exons. Lineage: Eukaryota; Metazoa; Chordata; Actinopteri; Cypriniformes; Cyprinidae. The record is from RefSeq and is a predicted model, not a curated record.